Molecule: long non-coding RNA, 233 nt
Filed under: Elaeis guineensis (African oil palm)
Lineage: Eukaryota; Viridiplantae; Streptophyta; Magnoliopsida; Arecales; Arecaceae
Description: long non-coding RNA (EGUI_LNC068989)
Source: RNAcentral
GAAAUUAUAAAUGAAUUUGAUUCUUCAAUUUCUUACGAGUUCAUAUAGUCAAUUUAUUAUAAAUUUUUAUAUGAACAAAUUGGUCUGCACUAUACCCGAACUGGUCAACAUAUUGGUUACUACUGAGGAAACCUUGAAGAGUUCAAGGGAUACUGUUUUUGCUAUAGAACAUACUUCUUUAUCUAAGAGAAAGUCUAGCUGGAAGAAAAAAAGUAAACCCAUGAAGAAGCAGA